GGACGGGUGGAUAUAUAUUGUUCGGGUACCUACAGGACGGUCAAUAGCCUACUUAAAAUGAAAACUCAUCACGUGCCGUUAGUUGCUUGUGUUGGUGUGUUGCUUGCUUAUUGAACGCUAUGGCUGCGAUAACGACACGUUCCCCACGGGAAUACCAGAUACAGUAUGCCUUUCUACAGGUUAAUUGGGGACUCAAGGUACGCACACUCGCAUUUUGGACUACCCGGAUGGAUUGUCUCCUAAUCGGCUCCUAUGGGGGCAACGGUGAGCCAUAUUGCAAUGUUCAAGAGAGAACACAGGUGCCAGAAGAAUGAGAAGAGGAAGCUUAGAAAUGAUCUAUGCAAUCUCAAACUGCUAACAUGCAUAAAAAUCAGUAUGAUAAAUUUGUUCCUCAUAGGUUUGGUUAUAAAAACAAUGACUGAUUGUAUUACCCUGGUUCCUAAUAAUACAACAUCUCUUGUUUGGAGCAAAGUAAAGUCUUGUACAUACUA
Molecule: long non-coding RNA, 491 nt
Organism: Anguilla anguilla (European eel)
Lineage: Eukaryota; Metazoa; Chordata; Actinopteri; Anguilliformes; Anguillidae
Exons: 3
Source: RefSeq, a predicted model, not a curated record